GUCAUGACAAUGGCCACUACCCUACUCCACUCUCUACAGUGGAUUUCGCAUGGCUCCACUACUCUCUGACAAGUCAUAACAACGGACACCACUCUACUCUCCGUAGCAAACUCCAUGUGGCCCUGAACGACCCCUGAUGCCACUACUCUCCGUAACAAACUUCGGACGGCUCUGAACAGCCCACUACCAGGCGAUUACAGACAUCGUUGUCAAUUAGUUACAUGCUCCAUCUAUAAAAAGGGACCCCCAGAUACAUUCUUCUCUAAGCUCAAAAACUCUAUCUCAAAACUCUGCUAAAAUUUUCACUCGAGCACUCCAUUUCUGUUGAAGUAGAGUACUGACUUG
This 345-nucleotide long non-coding RNA is filed under the name Elaeis guineensis (African oil palm). Its description in RNAcentral is "long non-coding RNA (EGUI_LNC060861)". Lineage: Eukaryota; Viridiplantae; Streptophyta; Magnoliopsida; Arecales; Arecaceae. The record is from RNAcentral.